UGUUCUCCGUCCCUCCCACGGGCUGCCAGCGUGGAGCCGGAGCCGGAGCUGAUGAUGAUGAUGAUGGCGGCGGCGACAGCGGCGGCGGGGCCUCGGCUCUGAGAGCGGCGGUGCAACAGGCCGCCCCGUGACAACCCCCUUCCAUUAACACCCGCGACAACACUCGGCCUUUUCUCCAAAGAAAAGACACGAUGGAGAGCUCCGUGGAGAAGACGAUGGACCCCACUGUAGCUGAGAUGGGCAAAAUCUUCAACGAGGCCAUGAAGAUGUUGGAGGACACUGAAAGGGAGACAGAUGAAGAAAAGGAGAAAAAGAAAUAUGCUAGAAAAGAUAUUCCUGGUCCAUUGCAGGGCAGUGGACAGGACAUGGCAACUAUUCUUCAACUUGUACAGGACCAAAU
Long non-coding RNA from Leucoraja erinaceus (little skate), 400 nucleotides. RefSeq lists it as uncharacterized. The transcript has 4 exons. The record is from RefSeq and is a predicted model, not a curated record. NCBI's taxonomy places the organism in Eukaryota, Metazoa, Chordata, Chondrichthyes, Rajiformes, Rajidae.